This 1423-nucleotide ribosomal RNA is filed under the name metagenome. RNAcentral's name for it is "SSU rRNA". It matches the Rfam family "Eukaryotic small subunit ribosomal RNA", at positions 363 to 1801 of the family's 1831-position model. The record is from RNAcentral.
CGGAGAAUAAGGGUUCGACUCCGGAGAGGGAGCCUGAGAAAUGGCUACCACAUCCAAGGAUGGCAGCAGGCGCGCUAAUUACCCACUCUCAGUACGAGGAGGUAGUGACGAAAAAUAACAAUGCGGGACUCAUCAGAGGCCUCGCAAUUGGAAUGAGCGCACUUUAAAUCGUUCGACGAGGAUCUAUUGGAGGGCAAGUCUGGUGCCAGCAGCCGCGGUAAUUCCAGCUCCAAUAGCGUAUAUUAAAGUUGUUGCAGUUAAAAAGCUCGUAGUUGGAUCUGGGGUUCGGUCGGCGGUUUGCCGCUUCGGCGGCUACUGCCGUGCUCGACUCUUACUAGCCGGUGCGUCUUGCGGUGCUCUUCAUCGAGUGCCGUAGGAGCCUGGCAUGUUUACUUUGAAAAAAUUAGAGUGCUCAAAGCAGGCGAUUCCGCCUGAAUAGUGUUGCAUGGAAUAAUGGAAUAGGACCUCGGUUCUAUUUUGUUGGUUUUCGGAACUUGAGGUAAUGAUUAAGAGGGACGGUCGGGGGCAUUCGUAUUUCGGUGUUAGAGGUGAAAUUCUUGGAUCGCUGAAAGACGGACAAAUGCGAAAGCAUCUGCCAAGAACGUCUCCAUUAAUCAAGAACGAAAGUCAGAGGUUCGAAGACGAUCAGACACCGUCCUAGUUCUGACCAUAAACGAUGCCAACUAGCGAUCCGCAGUGGUUGCUAUAAACGGACUCUGCGAGCAGCUUCCGGGAAACCAAAGUGUUUGGGUUCCGGGGGAAGUAUGGUUGCAAAGCUGAAACUUAAAGGAAUUGACGGAAGGGCACCACCAGGAGUGGAGCCUGCGGCUUAAUUUGACCCAACACGGGGAAACUCACCCGGUCCGGACACUGUAAGGAUUGACAGAUCGAGAGCUCUUUCUUGAUUCGGUGGAUGGUGGUGCAUGGCCGUUCUUAGUUGGUGGAGUGAUUUGUCUGGUUAAUUCCGAUAACGAACGAGGCUCUAGCCUGCUAACUAGUUGCGCCGUGUUCAUACGCGGCUGUAGACUUCUUAGAGGGACAGGUGGCGUUUAGCCACACGAAAUUGAGCAAUAACAGGUCUGUGAUGCCCUUAGAUGUCCGGGGCCGCACGCGCGCUACACUGAAGGAGUCAGCGUGUGCUAUCCGGGCUCGGAAGAGUUCGGUAACCCGUUGAAACUCCUUCGUGCUUGGGAUUGUGGCUUGUAAUUAUCGCGCAUGAACGAGGAAUUCCCAGUAAGUGCAAGUCAUCAGCUUGCGCUGACUACGUCCCUGCCCUUUGUACACACCGCCCGUCGCUACUACCGAUUGAAUGGUUUAGCAAGGUACUCGGAUUGGUCUCGAUCUUGUACGAAAGUGCGGGAUCUGUGGCCGAGAAGAAGGCCAAACUUGAUCAUUUAGAGGAAGUAAAAGUCGUAACAAGGUU